AGUGAACGCUGGCGGUAGGCCUAACACAUGCAAGUCGAACGGCAGCACAGUAAGAGCUUGCUCUUACGGGUGGCGAGUGGCGGACGGGUGAGGAAUACAUCGGAAUCUACUUUUUCGUGGGGGAUAACGUAGGGAAACUUACGCUAAUACCGCAUACGACUUACGGGUGAAAGCAGGGGAUCUUCGGCCUUUGCGCGAUUGAUUGAGCCGAUGUCGGAUUAGCUAGUUGGCGGGGUAAAGGCCCACCAAGGCGACGAUCCGUAGCUGGUCUGAGAGGAUGAUCAGCCACACUGGAACUGAGACACGGUCCAGACUCCUACGGGAGGCAGCAGUGGGGAAUAUUGGACAAUGGGCGCAAGCCUGAUCCAGCCAUACCGCGUGGGUGAAGAAGGCCUUCGGGUUGUAAAGCCCUUUUGUUGGGAAAGAAAAGCAGCAGGUUAAUACCCCGCUGUUCUGACGGUACCCAAAGAAUAAGCACCGGCUAACUUCGUG
This 492-nucleotide ribosomal RNA is filed under the name uncultured bacterium. RNAcentral's name for it is "partial 16S ribosomal RNA". It matches the Rfam family "Bacterial small subunit ribosomal RNA", at positions 29 to 507 of the family's 1533-position model. The record is from RNAcentral.